This 207-nucleotide ribosomal RNA is filed under the name uncultured bacterium. Its description in RNAcentral is "partial 16S ribosomal RNA". It matches the Rfam family "Bacterial small subunit ribosomal RNA", at positions 568 to 774 of the family's 1533-position model. The record is from RNAcentral.
CGCGUAGGCGGUCUGCUAAGUUGGAUGUGAAAACUCUGGGCUUAACCCAGAGCCUGCAUCCAAAACUAGCAGGCUGGAGUUCUGGAGGGGAUAGCGGAAUUCCUGGUGUAGCGGUGAAAUGCGUAGAUAUCAGGAGGAACACCGGUGGCGAAGGCGGCUAUCUGGACAGAAACUGACGCUGAGGCGCGAAAGCUAGGGGAGCAAACA